GGCAGAGUGGUCGAUUGCACUGAAUUGCUAAUCCGGAGACUGACAAAAAUCCGCAGGUUCGAAUCCUGCC
This 70-nucleotide transfer RNA is filed under the name Blautia wexlerae. Its description in RNAcentral is "tRNA-Ser". It matches the Rfam family "tRNA", at positions 9 to 63 of the family's 71-position model. Rfam says of the family: Transfer RNA (tRNA) molecules are approximately 80 nucleotides in length. Lineage: Bacteria; Bacillati; Bacillota; Clostridia; Lachnospirales; Lachnospiraceae. The record is from RNAcentral.